AACGAACGUUAGCGGCGCGCUUAACACAUGCAAGUCGUGCGAGAAAGGGAGCAAUCCCCGGUAAAGCGGCGCACGGGUGAGUAACACGUAGGUAACGUGCCCCCAGGUGGUGGAUAACCUUCCGAAAGGAGGGCUAAUACAGCAUAAGACCACGGCUUCGAAAGGAGCUGAGGUCAAAGUCGGCCUCUAUUCAUAAGCUGACGCCAGGGGAUCGGCCUGCGGCCCAUCAGGUAGUUGGUAGGGUAAUGACCUACCAAGCCUAAGACGGGUAGCUGGUCUGAGAGGAUGAUCAGCCACACUGGAACUGAGACACGGUCCAGACUCCUACGGGAGGCAGCAGUGGGGAAUCUUGCGCAAUGGGCGAAAGCCUGACGCAGCGACGCCGCGUGAGUGAUGAAGGCCU
This 403-nucleotide ribosomal RNA is filed under the name uncultured bacterium. Its description in RNAcentral is "bacterial SSU rRNA". It matches the Rfam family "Bacterial small subunit ribosomal RNA", at positions 29 to 417 of the family's 1533-position model. The record is from RNAcentral.